GAUGAACGCUGGCGGCGUGCCUAAUACAUGCAAGUCGAGCGAACAGAUGAGGAGCUUGCUCCUCUGACGUUAGCGGCGGACGGGUGAGUAACACGUGGAUAACCUACCUAUAAGACUGGGAUAACUUCGGGAAACCGGAGCUAAUACCGGAUAAUAUAUUGAACCGCAUGGUUCAAUAGUGAAAGACGGUUUUGCUGUCACUUAUAGAUGGAUCCGCGCCGCAUUAGCUAGUUGGUAAGGUAACGGCUUACCAAGGCAACGAUGCGUAGCCGACCUGAGAGGCUGAUCGCCCACACUGGAACUGAGCCACGGUCCAGACUCCUACGGGAGGCAGCAGCAGGGAAUCUUCCGCAAUGGGCGAAAGCCUGACGGAGCAACGCCGCGUGAGUGAUGAAGGUCUUCGGAUCGUAAAACUCUGUUAUUAGGGAAGAACAAAUGUGUAAGUAACUAUGCACGUCUUGACGGUACCUAAUCAGAAAGCCACGGCUAACUACGUG
RNAcentral lists this ribosomal RNA (497 nucleotides) under uncultured bacterium. RNAcentral's name for it is "partial 16S ribosomal RNA". It matches the Rfam family "Bacterial small subunit ribosomal RNA", at positions 28 to 507 of the family's 1533-position model. The record is from RNAcentral.